This 503-nucleotide ribosomal RNA is filed under the name uncultured bacterium. Its description in RNAcentral is "partial 16S ribosomal RNA". It matches the Rfam family "Bacterial small subunit ribosomal RNA", at positions 30 to 523 of the family's 1533-position model. The record is from RNAcentral.
AUUGAACGCUGGCGGCAGGCUUAACACAUGCAAGUCGAGCGGAGUGAUGGUGCUUGCACUAUCACUUAGCGGCGGACGGGUGAGUAAUGCUUAGGAAUCUGCCUAUUAGUGGGGGACAACAUCUCGAAAGGGAUGCUAAUACCGCAUACGUCCUACGGGAGAAUGCAGGGGAUCACUUUUGAACUUCCGCUAAUAGAUGAGCGUAAGUCGGAUUAGCUAGUUGGUGGGGUAAAGACCUACCAAGGCGACGAUCUGUAGCGGGUCUGAGAGGAUGAUCCGCCACACUGGGACUGAGACACGGCCCAGACUCCUACGGGAGGCAGCAGUGGGGAAUAUUGGACAAUGGGGGGAACCCUGAUCCAGCCAUGCCGCGUGUGUGAAGAAGGCCUUAUGGUUGUAAAGCACUUUAAGCGAGGAGGAGGCUCUUUUGGUUAAUACCCAAGAUGAGUGGACGUUACUCGCAGAAUAAGCACCGGCUAACUCUGUGCCAGCCGCCGCCGUAA